This 250-nucleotide ribosomal RNA is filed under the name uncultured bacterium. Its description in RNAcentral is "partial 16S ribosomal RNA". It matches the Rfam family "Bacterial small subunit ribosomal RNA", at positions 808 to 1058 of the family's 1533-position model. The record is from RNAcentral.
GAUGAGCACCAGGUGUCGGGGUCGCAAGACCUCGGUGCCGCAGUUAACGCAUUAAGUGCUCCGCCUGGGGAGUACGUUCGCAAGAAUAAAACUCAAAGGAAUUGACGGGGACCCGCACAAGCAGCGGAGCAUGUGGUUUAAUUCGAAGCAACGCGAAGAACCUUACCAGGGCUUGACAUCCUUCUGCCGUACCCGUAAAAGGGUAUUUCCUACGGGACAGAAGAGACAGGUGGUGCAUGGCUGUCGUCAG